UAAGGAAUAUUGGUCAAUGGACGCAAGUCUGAACCAGCCAUGCCGCGUGGAGGAUGAAGGUCCUCUGGAUUGUAAACUUCUUUUAUCUGGGAAGAAACCCAUGUUUUCUAAUGUGGUUGACGGUACCAGAUGAAUAAGCACCGGCUAACUCCGUGCCAGCAGCCGCGGUAAUACGGAGGGUGCAAGCGUUAUCCGGAUUCACUGGGUUUAAAGGGUGCGUAGGCGGAUUGGUAAGUCCGUGGUGAAAUCCCCAAGCUUAACUUGGGAACUGCCGUGGAUACUAUCAGUCUUGAAUAUCGUGGAGGUAAGCGGAAUAUGUCAUGUAGCGGUGAAAUGCUUAGAUAUGACAUAGAACACCAAUUGCGUAGGCAGCUUACUACACGAUCAUUGACGCUGAGGCACGAAAGCGUGGGGAGCAAACA
RNAcentral lists this ribosomal RNA (422 nucleotides) under uncultured Flavitalea sp. RNAcentral's name for it is "bacterial SSU rRNA". It matches the Rfam family "Bacterial small subunit ribosomal RNA", at positions 355 to 774 of the family's 1533-position model. Lineage: Bacteria; Pseudomonadati; Bacteroidota; Chitinophagia; Chitinophagales; Chitinophagaceae. The record is from RNAcentral.